This 26-nucleotide non-coding RNA is filed under the name Cricetulus griseus (Chinese hamster). The record is from RNAcentral. Lineage: Eukaryota; Metazoa; Chordata; Mammalia; Rodentia; Cricetidae.
UAGCACCUGUGUGGGUUUUUGUUUAC